UUUUUUAUCCUUUUUUAUUUCAUUUUUUUAUUAAAAGUAAUUAGUAUUCGUAUCAAUUACCGUUAGGGGUGAGCAUAAUUUGCGUUUAACCAAAUUAACUAACCGAGUUUGAUCGGUUCGACUCGGUUAAUAUAUAAGUUCGGUUUGGUUUAGCUUGAGAUUUGUAUAAUUUUGGGUAUUUGGGUACGAGGAAUCUUUAAUUCAGUUAACCAAAUUACUUGAAUUACUAAUUAAUAUAAAUUAGUAAUAUUAAUAUAUAAUAUAUGUUAAAUCUUAAAUAUUUAAUCUUAAAAUAUUUAUUUUAUUAAUAAACCCUUUUAUUAAUUAAGUUGGAAUUGGUAAAUUAGAAAUAAAAUUUGUAAUCAUAUUUUGUUUUUAUAAUUAAUUUUAAAUUUAUUUGGUCAAAUUCGGUUAAUCGAAUUAUUCAAAAAGUUGGUUCGGACGGGUACAGUUCAGUUACAACAAUUAACUUGGUCGGUUCGGUUAGGGAUUAGUGUUAAUCAAAAAAUUUGGAUAAUUCAAUUAAUUAACCAAAUUUGGCCGAACGGAUUGUUUGCACACCCCUAAUUGCCGCAGUCGACCACAACUUCCUUUCUACACUUAGCUAAAUUUGGGAAAGAUUCAUUUAAAUUUGAGAAUUCAAAGUUCUGAUGCAGUUUAUUAAUUAACUAUUAAAUUUAGUAGUAGAUUUAUGAUUAGCUAUUAAACAUAGUCAAUCCUCUCUCUCUCUUUCUCUCUCUUCUGGUUUCUUUUUCUUUUUUUAUUCUUAUAUUGACUGAGGUCAUGAGAAACUAAGAAUAGGCAUGUAGAUAAACUUCUUUGUGUUGGCCUAAAUAAGGCUUACGACUCUUAAUUUUGAUGAUAAUAAAGUAAGGUUAUUUAACAUGCUUCAAAGUUGUGAUGUUUUAGGACAAAUAGAUAUUGGAGCUUAGCAUUCUUCACAUGAUCACAAGGAAUAGUUUUGAAAGCUCACAUCAAUAUUGGUGAUCAAAAUUGAAAGCUUGAAGAACAAUGAGGCUCUACAUUAAAAGAACUCAAAGCAAUAAAUUCAAGAUUUCAAGGAGUUUAAGAAUUGAAGAGUCAAAAGAGUCAAUGGGACAUGCUUUGUUUUUAGCCUAGUUCUUCGCCGGUUUGACGAUUCGAAGUCGUCAUGCUACUCCUGGGAAGUUUCCUUUCAUAUCUGCAGGAAUAAAUCGUUUGUGAGGCCAAUUUAGGUACCAUCUCAAAAUUUGGGUAAGUUAAUUCUUUUAAGUUUUAUAAGGUAUUUGGUAUUUCUGGACUAAGGAGGUAUAGUAGAUGAAAUAAUACUGAAGUUUUGUUAGAGAAAAAUGUGAAUUUUAGGGUGUUAAGUUGGAAACACCACAUGUGCAGAUUUAGUUAAAUUUGUUGGCUUUUUAGUAGUCAGGUAAGAGGAUAAAUUAAGUCAGUUUAUUUUUAUAAAAAAAUAUUAUUUUUAAA
Molecule: long non-coding RNA, 1458 nt
Organism: Malania oleifera
Lineage: Eukaryota; Viridiplantae; Streptophyta; Magnoliopsida; Santalales; Ximeniaceae
Exons: 2
Source: RefSeq, a predicted model, not a curated record